UGCUCUACAGUUUGGCUCUGAGUCUCCAAACAUUCUUUCCUCAGGAGUUGCUGCCUCUCUAAAUCCCCACGAAGCACUGAAAGAUAAUAUUUUUUAUUAUUUUGCGGAUUUUAAAAACAGAGGAGGGACAUAAAGCCGUCAGGUGGGAGCUGGCCUCUCCGGCCGCCGUGCCGACAGGUGAAGCCGGUGUUUAUUGGCGGACGGACGGACGGACGGAUGGUCGCCAGCAGACGCUGAAACUCGACUCUUCCCCGCUGAAAGGAUGGGAGGAGUUAUUACAUGCAUGAGCAGCGUGUCGGGACAUAAAUCCACGGAGGCUCAGGUAGACGAUGAAAGCCCACCGGUCGCUGUCGACGUGGAUUUACAGCCGCUCAUCUCGGAGCUUCUUCCAUUAAAACAUGGUCUGAGAGCUACACUGGAAAAAAUGCUCCUCUCAAAACAAGGAAAAACUCAUUUCAAGGAACUUCUACCCUGAAAUAAGUGAAAACAUCUGCCAAUAGAACAAGUGGAAAGUGGCUUGGGGAAAGUGUCACGUUCCAGCUGCUUGGUGGGAACUGGACACAGGAAGCAGGACGGGGAGCCGAUGACAACAUCUGGAUGUGAUUUCAGAGAUGGCAGUGAAAUAUGAAAAGUGAAGGAGGGACGCAGGAACCUCAGCGGCUACAAACAUGGAAAAUCUGACUUCUGUACAGAGCAAUAAAUAAAUCUGGACCAGAGGUUCACAACCUCUGGAGCUCGCCACUCUGGA
Molecule: long non-coding RNA, 748 nt
Organism: Amphiprion ocellaris (clown anemonefish)
Lineage: Eukaryota; Metazoa; Chordata; Actinopteri; Pomacentridae
Exons: 2
Source: RefSeq, a predicted model, not a curated record